RNAcentral lists this microRNA precursor (121 nucleotides) under Solanum lycopersicum (tomato). Lineage: Eukaryota; Viridiplantae; Streptophyta; Magnoliopsida; Solanales; Solanaceae. The record is from RNAcentral.
CAAAUGGAUGAAUACACGAGAUAUUGGUGCGGUUCAAUGAGAAAGCAGUACUUAAGAACAUUUUUGAGUCUACUUUUUGAUUGAGCCGCGCCAAUAUCACGUGUAGCUAAAUCUUUAGUUG